CACCGCCCGUCACAUCACGAAAGUGGGCUGUACUAGAAGUGGCUGAGCUAACCCGCAAGGGAGGCAGGUUACGACGGUAUGGUUCAUGAUUGGGGUG
Molecule: ribosomal RNA, 97 nt
Filed under: uncultured bacterium
Lineage: Bacteria
Description: partial 16S ribosomal RNA
Rfam family: Bacterial small subunit ribosomal RNA
Source: RNAcentral